GACCCUCGUUCUUUCUUUUCCCUUUUCCUUUCUCUCUGUUUUCUCCUUCCCACUCUGCAAAAGGCACACAGAAAUUGACGGAUGUAACAUUCGAUUGUCAAGACUGAGGGAUAGACCUGGAAGUCUUCCCUUGGCAGUCUAAUAUUCUCUCGGAGCAAGGGCAACCCCUCGAAGACGUUGACGUCAAGGUCAGAAGCUACAGUGAUAGCAUCAUGGAACUCAACCACUUUGAUUAAUCAGGAAAAUGACCCAGAUUUUGUUAGAGAUUCUUGGGAUGAAGAAGUUGAUGACAAAAAGGGGGGAAAAAAAAAAGGAAGUUAUUUGAGAGAUGUGUAUCUGAGUAAGCACUUAAUGUAUUCCACUAUUUUUUCUUCUAUUUUAUGGUCCUUAAAGAUGAACAAGAUCUCGUUUGCUCUUGCUCUAGAUGGGUAGAGAGUAAAAUGUUUAGCACUUCAUGUAUCAUCCAAGAUGCCUUCAAUUUCAUAGAGAUCUUCUUAGUUGUGUGGUUGUUGUCAGGAAAGAGUACACUGUACACUACUGCUACCUAUGCAAAUAGUUUUUCCUUGCACUGUUA
This is a long non-coding RNA of Coffea eugenioides, 574 nucleotides long. RefSeq lists it as uncharacterized. NCBI's taxonomy places the organism in Eukaryota, Viridiplantae, Streptophyta, Magnoliopsida, Gentianales, Rubiaceae. The record is from RefSeq and is a predicted model, not a curated record. The transcript has 2 exons.